AUGGAAGGGAAGUUAACAUGGUUCUCUGAAAUUGCAUUAUCUGAGAAGGGAAUGUCGGCGGCGGAGAGGGAAAGAAGGGAGCGACAACGUUUUAGCGGAACGAAGGGACAACGGCCGGAGGAGAAGGGAGCGAUGGAAGAGGUGUCCGGCAAAAAAGAGAUCUUUUUCUUCAUGGCCAGUGCUGUCAUCACCUUGGAGAGCUCGGAUGGGAUGCUGUUCACGGUGUCGGAGGAGGCGGCACGGUUGUCCGUGCCCCUCGCCGACAUGAUCGACCAGGGCUGCGCCGGAGGCAUCAUCCAGCUACCCGACGUGGACGCCAGGGCCCUCGCCACGGUAAUCGAGUACUGCAACAAGCACGCCGACGCCGCCUCUGCCAACAGCCGCGUCGAUGAGGGUAGCAGCAGCUGCAACUCCGAGGCAUCCGUGGAGGCGCUGAUGGAGUGGGACCGCAAGCUCGUCGACGGCCUCAGCCAGGACGCCCUCUGCGACGUCAUCAUCGCCGCUAAGUUCCUCCACAUCAAGGGGCUCUUCGACGCUGCCUGCCAGAAGGUCGCCGUCGUGGACCAGAUAGAGGAGGAAGACGUGUGCACUUGGUUCUCUGGACUUACUCCCUUUUCUGAGAAGGGGACGGCGGCAGCGGAGGGGGCAAGAACCAAUGGUCAACGGCCGGAGAAGAAGGGGGCGAUGGGAGAGGAGGCGGAGCAGGUUGCUGGCGAAAACGACACAUUUUUCUUCGGGGCCAGCGGAAAAAUCAUCACCUUAAAGAGCUCGGAUGGGAUGCUGUUCAAGGUGUCGGAGGCCGCAGCACGGCUGUCCGUGCUCCUCGCCGACAUGAUCGACCAGGGCUGCGCCAAAGGCAUCAUCCAGCUACCCAAUGUGGACGCCAGGGCCCUCGCCACGGUGAUCGAAUACUGCAAUGAGCACGCCGACGCCACCGCCACCGCCAAUCCCGACGCCAACCACGGCGUCGCUGAGGGCAGCAGUAGCUGCAACUCUGAGGCAUCCGGUGAGGCGCUGAAGGAGUGGGACCGCAAGCUCGUCGACGGCCUCAGCCAGGACGCCCUCUACGACCUCAUCAUGGCCACCAACUUCCUCCACAUCAAGGGACUCCUCGACGCUGCCUGCCAGAAGGUCGCCGACAUGAUCAAGGGCAAGAGCGUGGAGCAGACGCGAAAGAUGUUCGGCAUCGCCACCGACUUCACCGAGGAGGAGGAGGAACUGCGUAAAGAGAGUCCAUGGGCCUUCGAGGAGUAG
RNAcentral lists this ribosomal RNA (1254 nucleotides) under Triticum aestivum (bread wheat). RNAcentral describes it as "partial small subunit ribosomal RNA". The record is from RNAcentral. Lineage: Eukaryota; Viridiplantae; Streptophyta; Magnoliopsida; Poales; Poaceae.